RNAcentral lists this ribosomal RNA (431 nucleotides) under uncultured bacterium. RNAcentral describes it as "partial 16S ribosomal RNA". It matches the Rfam family "Bacterial small subunit ribosomal RNA", at positions 29 to 507 of the family's 1533-position model. The record is from RNAcentral.
AACGAACGCUGGCGGCAGGCUUAACACAUGCAAGUCGAGCGCCCCGCAAGUGGGGCGGCAGACGGGUGAGUAACGCGUGGGAACGUACCCUUAUCUUCGGGAUAGCCCAGGGAAACUGGAAUGAAUACCGAAUGUGCCCUUUGGGGGUAAGAUUUAUCGGAUAAGGAUCGGACCGCGUGGGCUUAGCAAGUUGGGGGGGUAAAUGCCUACCAAGGCGACGAUCCAUAGCUGGUCUGAGAGGAUGAUCAGCGACAUUGAGACUGAGAGACGGCCCAAACUCCUACGGGAGGCGGCAGUGGGGAAUAUUGGACUAUGGGCGCAGGCCUGAUCCAGCCAUGCCGGGUGAGUGAUGAAGGCGUUAGGGUUGUAAAGCUCUUUCACCGGAGAAGAUACUGACGGUAUCCGGAGAAGAAGCCCCGGCUAACUUCGUG